This 492-nucleotide ribosomal RNA is filed under the name uncultured bacterium. RNAcentral's name for it is "partial 16S ribosomal RNA". It matches the Rfam family "Bacterial small subunit ribosomal RNA", at positions 29 to 507 of the family's 1533-position model. The record is from RNAcentral.
AGUGAACGCUGGCGGUAGGCCUAACACAUGCAAGUCGAACGGCAGCACAGUAGGAGCUUGCUCUUACGAGUGGCGAGUGGCGGACGGGUGAGGAAUACAUCGGAAUCUACUUUUUCGUGGGGGAUAACGUAGGGAAACUUACGCUAAUACCGCAUACGACCUCCGCGUGAAAGCAGGGGAUCUUCGGACCUUGCGCGAUUGAAUGAGCCGAUGUCGGAUUAGCUAGUUGGCGGGGUAAAGGCCCACCCAGGGCAAGAUCCGUAGCUGGUCUGAGAGGUUGAUGAGUGACACUGGAAAUGAGACACGGUCCAGACUCCUGAGGGAAGCAGCAGUGGGGAAUAGUGGACAAUGGGCGCAAGCCUGAUGCAGGCAGACCGCAUGGGGCAAGAAGGCCUUAGGGUUGCAAAGUCCAUUUGUUGGGAAAGAAAAGCAGCAGGGUAAUACCCCGCUGUUCUGACGGUACCCAAAGAAUAAGCACCGGCUAACUUCGUG